CAAGUCGAGCGGUAACAGAAAGUAGCUUGCUACUUUGCUGACGAGCGGCGGACGGGUGAGUAAUGCCUGGGAAUUUGCCCAUUCGAGGGGGAUAACAGUUGGAAACGACUGCUAAUACCGCAUACGCCCUACGGGGGAAAGGAGGGGACCUUCGGGCCUUCCGCGAAUGGAUAAGCCCAGGUGGGAUUAGCUAGUAGGUGAGGUAAUGGCUCACCUAGGCGACGAUCCCUAGCUGUUCUGAGAGGAUGAUCAGCCACACUGGGACUGAGACACGGCCCAGACUCCUACGGGAGGCAGCAGUGGGGAAUAUUGCACAAUGGGCGAAAGCCUGAUGCAGCCAUGCCGCGUGUGUGAAGAAGGCCUUCGGGUUGUAAAGCACUUUCAGCGAGGAGGAAAGGUUACUGGCUAAUAUCCAGUAGCUGUGACGUUACUCGCAGAAGAAGCACCGGCUAACUCCGUG
Molecule: ribosomal RNA, 460 nt
Filed under: bacterium BSD16-5
Lineage: Bacteria
Description: bacterial SSU rRNA
Rfam family: Bacterial small subunit ribosomal RNA
Source: RNAcentral